RNAcentral lists this ribosomal RNA (497 nucleotides) under uncultured bacterium. Its description in RNAcentral is "partial 16S ribosomal RNA". It matches the Rfam family "Bacterial small subunit ribosomal RNA", at positions 28 to 507 of the family's 1533-position model. The record is from RNAcentral.
GAUGAACGCUGGCGGCGUGCCUAAUACAUGCAAGUCGAGCGAACAGACCAGGCUCUUGCUCCUCUGUCGUUAGCCGCGGACGGGUGAGUCACACGUGUAUCCUCUCCCUAUCUGACUGGGAUAACUUCGGGAAACCGGCGCUAAUCCCGUAUAAUCUAUUGAACCGCAUGGUUCAUUAGUGAAUGUCGGCUUUUCUGUCUCUUAUCGAUGGUUCCGGGCCGCAUUAGCUAGUUGGUAAGGUAACGGCAUACCAAGGCAACGAUGCGUAGCCGACCGGAGAGGGGGGUCGGCCACACGGGAGCGGAGCCGCGUACCAGAGUCCUACGGGAGGCAGCAGUAGGGAAUCUGCCGCAAUGGGGGAAAGCCUUACAGAGCAACGCGGAGUGAGUGAUGAAGGUCUUCGGAGCGGAAAACUCUGUUAUGAGGGAAGAACAAAUGUGGAAGUAACUAUGCACGUCGUGACGGUACCGAAUCAGAAAGCCACGGCUAACUACGUG